AUGUUUUCAGUGGGAGAAACGUUUCGUCACUCGGUGACUUCUUCAGUCUCAGCUGACUGCAGCUUUCCUCGACCUUAUAAACUGUACAUUUGCAUAAUAACCAACCAAACCAGCACCAUUGAAUUAACAAUGGAACCACUACUGAUCAAAGCCCAUUGACUCCAAACACCACAUCUCAGUAGCUUUUACUCCCCAAAACUCACUAAUUUCUUUGUUUCAGUAUAUUGAUUGUUGCAAAACAUUUUUUGAUGACUUCUUCAUGUUUUUUACAAAGAGGACUUUAACCAUUAGGGGGAAAAACAUUAUCAGAGCACAGAUAUGGUGGGAUUUAACAUCUUGAUGUCUGAGUCCAUGUUUCUCAACUGAAAAACAAGCUAGUGUUACCUGACACAUUUUUUUCCAAACCACACCCAGGCCACAUAUUUCACAGGCAGAACUGGAGUUUUAUUUACUUUCACUUUAGCCAUCUUGGUGUGAGGACACAACUGACUUCAGCAGGUAAGUAAUACCUAGAUACCUAAAUGCCUUCACCGAAAGAAAACAAGGGAAACUACUGACGUAAAUACAAUUUUCAAUGUGAGGGAAUAAGUGGAUUUUUGUUUUGUUUGAUCUCAGCUGACACUUCAGAUUACUUCUAGCAUUUUUGUGAAAUUCUUAUAUGAUUACAUACUUUUAUAGAGAACAUGUCAUUCCACCUCCAGAACCAGAUGCUUCAUGACAUUCAGUCACUACUGGUUACAACAGGUAACCUUCUGUGUAAUCAUAAAUUAUAUACUUGUGAGUUUUCAGUUAUUUUGUUUGUAUUUAUUGUCCUGGUCCUGGGUCUGUGGCCCAGUGAGUUGCAUUGUUUAUUAUUUAUUUCCCUCAUGUUAUUGCUGUCUGUAUUUCUAGGUCCUAGUUUUGAUCCCUUUGCUCCUCAUGUUAUUCUGUGCUCCCUCUGUUCUGUGUCUACUCAUCCCUGCCUGUGUGUUCCAGUGUAGUCAGGUCUCUGUGUAAAGCUUGUGUCUCUGAGUCUGUGUGUGUUGAGUUUCCUGUUUUAUUGUGAAGGUCUGUGUCUCAUGUAUUCUGUUUUACUUCCUUGUCUCGUCUUGCCCAAUCAGUUCCAGCUGUGUUGCCACCUGUUCCUCAUUCCUUCGUGUUUCUGCUUGUGUAUUUGUAGUGCAGUCAUCUCGUUCUCAUCGCUGGUCCGUCUGCGAUGUCUCCUGGAGUCUCCCUGUGUUUCCUCUGUUUAGGUUCCCCUUAGUUUCUGUGUAUGCCAUUCUCCGCUCCUGCUGUAUCCUGCGCACCUUAAAUAAAGCUCACUUGCAUCAUAGGCCGUGCUUCCAUUUUGGGUCCUCGAUCAUAACUCCACACGUCUGCCGCCGUGACAUUUGCACAGCUCUACUUUAAUUCAUACCAUUUGAACUGUCAAGUUAAUCUUGGUGUAAGGAGACAUUGGAGACAUCAGCAGGUCAACCAGUCUAUGGUGUUUUCAGCAGAGUGACAUCAUGGCCUUUUCAGAAUCUGCACAUGAACUCAGAAUAAUGCUGUUUGGAAAAAAUGAUGACAAGAAAUCAGCCCUGGAAAACAUCAUCACUGGAAAGAAAAGAUCCAUUGUGUCUAAAGUUCUUGAAAGAAGGCAAUGUCACGAUGCCUCUGGAGAGUGGAACGGGAAACCGUUAACAGUAGUCAAAACUCCUGACAUCUUCAGUCUGUCUGUUGAUAAAUUGUUAGAAGUGAUGAAGAGCUGUGUGAGUCUCUGUCCUCCUGGACCAAAUGUUCUGCUGCUGUUAGUGAAACCUUCUGAUUUCUCUGAAGAGGACAGAAAAAAUCUGAACUUGGUCCUCAGUGUGUUUGGUCAAGAUGCAUUUAAGCACUCCAUGGUCAUCCUGACACAUAAUGAGAGAAAGAGUGACUCAGUGGAAGACUCAUCAAACACUGUGAUCACAGGCAGGAAUAUAUCAGUUAUUUUGACAAGGAA
This is a long non-coding RNA of Haplochromis burtoni (Burton's mouthbrooder), 1960 nucleotides long. RefSeq lists it as uncharacterized. The transcript is spliced from 4 exons. The record is from RefSeq and is a predicted model, not a curated record. NCBI's taxonomy places the organism in Eukaryota, Metazoa, Chordata, Actinopteri, Cichliformes, Cichlidae.